This 74-nucleotide transfer RNA is filed under the name Gemmatimonadetes bacterium T265. RNAcentral describes it as "tRNA-Asn". It matches the Rfam family "tRNA". Rfam says of the family: Transfer RNA (tRNA) molecules are approximately 80 nucleotides in length. Their secondary structure includes four short double-helical elements and three loops (D, anti-codon, and T loops). Lineage: Bacteria; Pseudomonadati; Gemmatimonadota. The record is from RNAcentral.
UCCCGAGUAGCUCAGUUGGUAGAGCAGACGACUGUUAAUCGUCGGGUCACAGGUUCGAGUCCUGUCUCGGGAGC